CCUACGGGAGGCAGCAGUGGGGAAUCUUGCGCAAUGGGCGAAAGCCUGACGCAGCAACGCCGCGUGCGGGAUGAAGGCCUUCGGGUUGUAAACCGCUUUUAACAGGAACGAAAAUGACGGUACCUGUAGAAUAAGGUGCGGCCAACUACGUGCCAGCAGCCGCGGUGACACGUAGGCACCAAGCGUUGUCCGGAUUUAUUGGGCGUAAAGAGCUCGUAGGCGGUUCGAUAAGUCGGGUGUGAAAACCUCUGGGCUUAACCCCAGAGACGCCACUCGAUACUAUUGUGACUAGAGUUCGGUAGGGGUAGCGGGGAAUUCCUAGUGUAGCGGUGAAAUGCGCAGAUAUUAGGAGGAACACCGGUGGCGAAGGCGCCGCUCUGGGCCGAAACUGACGCUGAGGAGCGAAAGCGUGGGUAGCAAACAGGAUUAGAUACCCUGGUAGUCCACGCCGUAAACCGGUGGGCACUAGGUGUGGGCUCCAACCAACGGAGUCCGCGCCGUCGCUAACGCAUUAAGUGCCCCGCCUGGGGAGUACGGCCGCAAGGUUAAAACCUUAAAUGAAUUGACGG
This 569-nucleotide ribosomal RNA is filed under the name uncultured bacterium. RNAcentral describes it as "bacterial SSU rRNA". It matches the Rfam family "Bacterial small subunit ribosomal RNA", at positions 338 to 916 of the family's 1533-position model. The record is from RNAcentral.